GCCUUUCUCUUUACUACUGAGAACAGAAUGAAACCGGAAAAGAAAAGAAGGAAGAAAAGAAAGAAGAAAGAAGAAGAAGAGAGACGAAGAAGACGAAGAAAAGAAGAGAAGGAAGAAAAGAGGAGGAGAAAAGAGAAAAGAGAAGAGACCGAAUGCCAUCUUAAAAAUCCAGCAAGAAGAAGAGGAGAAAAAGCAGAAGAAGAAGAAGAAGAAAAGAGAAAGAGGAAGAAGAAGAAAGAGAAAUUAAGGAAUAGAAUUAACAUACCUUGGAUCGAGUGUAGCCACAGAUGUCGAGGCCACAUUCUUUGUGGCAUACUAUUUUCACAUGAUGGGAAUUGGAGCUAAGGCAGGACUGGACUUUAGCAACGGUUGUGAAGCUUGUGUCGGCAAGAUGUCAAGAUUUUAUGCGCUUCAAUAUUAUUUAGUUCUUCCCUCUUGAUGUAUAUAUUUAUGGAUGUGUAGAAAGUAGUAUUGUAGCCUGUGGUGUUUUUCACACAUGCAGUUUGUAUAAUGUAAUUUAUCACUUUAGUACAUCACCAGUGAUAUUUAUGAGAUUUUAUUAGCA
Long non-coding RNA from Macadamia integrifolia, 565 nucleotides. RefSeq lists it as uncharacterized. The transcript has 2 exons. Lineage: Eukaryota; Viridiplantae; Streptophyta; Magnoliopsida; Proteales; Proteaceae. The record is from RefSeq and is a predicted model, not a curated record.